Molecule: ribosomal RNA, 301 nt
Filed under: uncultured bacterium
Lineage: Bacteria
Description: partial 16S ribosomal RNA
Rfam family: Bacterial small subunit ribosomal RNA
Source: RNAcentral
CAGUAGCCGCGGGAAUACGAAGGGGGCUAGCGUUGCUCGGAUUUACUGGGCGUAAAGCGCACGUAGGCGGAUCGAUCAGUCAGGGGUGAAAUCCCAGAGCUCAACUCUGGAACUGCCUUUGAUACUGUCGAUCUGGAGUAUGGAAGAGGUGAGUGGAAUUCCGAGUGUAGAGGUGAAAUUCGUAGAUAUUCGGAGGAACACCAGUGGCGAAGGCGGCUCACUGGUCCAUUACUGACGCUGAGGUGCGAAAGCGUGGGGAGCAAACAGGAUUAGAUACCCGCGUAGUCCCUGUCUCUUAUAC